RNAcentral lists this small nuclear RNA (20 nucleotides) under Arabidopsis thaliana (thale cress). Its description in RNAcentral is "snRNA_11782". Lineage: Eukaryota; Viridiplantae; Streptophyta; Magnoliopsida; Brassicales; Brassicaceae. The record is from RNAcentral.
UUGGAAUGAACAUGAUGCAU